Molecule: long non-coding RNA, 650 nt
Organism: Belonocnema kinseyi
Lineage: Eukaryota; Metazoa; Arthropoda; Insecta; Hymenoptera; Cynipidae
Exons: 4
Source: RefSeq, a predicted model, not a curated record
GAAAUCCUAACCGUGAGCGGAAUUCGUGUGCAUCGGGUACGAAAAACCUGAUCCGUCAUUUUCCUCGAAAUGGAAGAAAGGUAGUUCACAAGUGACUGUAAGAGGUGAUCAUUAUUGACGGAUUAUUUAUUCUGGUCUUUAUCGACAGACAGAAGCAAAUGCAAGAAAAAGUUAUUCAAGGUUGAAACUUGAAGGUGGCUACCUUGCGAAUAAUAGAAAAAGUGGGUUUUACGUCAUCAUUAGUGGUCAGGCCAUAUCAACUCAAUGGUAGAAAUAUGACGAAGCACAGCGCCAUGAAUUGGCCGCAACCUGAACUAAAAGUGUCAUGUGUAACCGUCAAUAUCACGGGCUACCUCAACGGAAGCAUCUGCAGGAAGAUCAUCCACCUCUUUUUCAGGCAAUAACACGGAAGGCACUAUUUUCGUUGUGAAAAAAAUUCGCGGACGCGUGAAGAAUCCUUCGCCCGAAAACGCAGAAAGCAUACUUGAUAACCGCUUUUAUGGAUUUCUCUGUAGGUUAUUUUCGUCAAGAGAGGGUUUGACACUGCUUCUAACUACAAUAUACCGGGCUUUGCGUCUUUCGGAAAUUGGUAAUGCUUCACAUGAUGCGACGAUUGACACCCGAGAACACACCUCCGCUUGUUUAACUUU